Long non-coding RNA from Varroa destructor (honeybee mite), 378 nucleotides. RefSeq lists it as uncharacterized. NCBI's taxonomy places the organism in Eukaryota, Metazoa, Arthropoda, Arachnida, Mesostigmata, Varroidae. The record is from RefSeq and is a predicted model, not a curated record.
CUGGGGCCCUUUGUAGUGUGAGUCACGCCCAGGAUAGAAGGAUCUCUGACAAAACAAAAUAAGAACAGCGUGUCUCUGAACCCUGAUAAGAUUGCGACUUACUUCCGCAUAAAAUACGAACGCUGAAGAAUCGUUUGCGACUACUUCUGUAAAGCGUAACCGGAUUUUCUCGCAGUGAUCUCUGACGCACACUUAUUGCUAUGAUGACGUCUAUGAAACAUCAAAUGGCCGGUUCAAUUUUUCACCAAGCUCUUCCUAAACAAAAUCUGAUAUUUCGUUAAGGCAUAAUUAUUAACCUUGCUAUCAAAGCAAAUACGUGCUAUUUGCUUAUUUGAGUUAAUUACCUAUAAUAAUAAUAAUAUAGAAUUUUGUUGUCGC